This 495-nucleotide ribosomal RNA is filed under the name uncultured bacterium. Its description in RNAcentral is "partial 16S ribosomal RNA". It matches the Rfam family "Bacterial small subunit ribosomal RNA", at positions 28 to 523 of the family's 1533-position model. The record is from RNAcentral.
GAUGAACGCUGGCGGCGUGCUUAACACAUGCAAGUCGAACGAAGCACUUUGGAAUGAUUCUUCGGAUGAGUGAAGAAGUGACUUAGUGGCGGACGGGUGAGUAACGCGUGGAUAACCUGCCUUAUACUGGGGGACAACAGUUAGAAAUGACUGCUAAUACCGCAUAAGCGCACAGUACCGCAUGGUACGGUGUGAAAAACUCCGGUGGUAUAAGAUGGAUCCGCGUCUGAUUAGCUAGUUGGUGAGGUAACGGCUCACCAAGGCGACGAUCAGUAGCCGGCCUGAGAGGGUGAACGGCCACAUUGGGACUGAGACACGGCCCAGACUCCUACGGGAGGCAGCAGUGGGGAAUAUUGGACAAUGGGGGAAACCCUGAUCCAGCAAUGCCGCGUGAAUGAAGAAGGCCUUAGGGUUGUAAAGUUCUUUCACCUGUGACGAUGAUGACGGUAGCAGGAGAAGAAGCCCCGGCUAACUCCGUGCCAGCAGCCGCCGCCG